Molecule: ribosomal RNA, 465 nt
Filed under: Vreelandella stevensii
Lineage: Bacteria; Pseudomonadati; Pseudomonadota; Gammaproteobacteria; Oceanospirillales; Halomonadaceae
Description: partial 16S ribosomal RNA
Rfam family: Bacterial small subunit ribosomal RNA
Source: RNAcentral
CCUACGGGUGGCAGCAGUGGGGAAUAUUGGACAAUGGGCGAAAGCCUGAUCCAGCCAUGCCGCGUGUGUGAAGAAGGCCUUCGGGUUGUAAAGCACUUUCAGUGGGGAAGAAAGCCUUGGGGCUAAUACCCUCGAGGAAGGACAUCACCCACAGAAGAAGCACCGGCUAACUCCGUGCCAGCAGCCGCGGUAAUACGGAGGGUGCGAGCGUUAAUCGGAAUUACUGGGCGUAAAGCGCGCGUAGGCGGUCUGAUAAGCCGGUUGUGAAAGCCCCGGGCUCAACCUGGGAACGGCAUCCGGAACUGUCAGGCUAGAGUGCAGUAGAGGAAGGUAGAAUUCCCGGUGUAGCGGUGAAAUGCGUAGAGAUCGGGAGGAAUACCAGUGGCGAAGGCGGCCUUCUGGACUGACACUGACGCUGAGGUGCGAAAGCGUGGGUAGCAAACAGGAUUAGAUACCCUGGUAGUC